RNAcentral lists this ribosomal RNA (274 nucleotides) under uncultured bacterium. RNAcentral's name for it is "partial 16S ribosomal RNA". It matches the Rfam family "Bacterial small subunit ribosomal RNA", at positions 523 to 796 of the family's 1533-position model. The record is from RNAcentral.
AUACGGAGGGGGCUAGCGUUGCUCGGAAUUACUGGGCGUAAAGGGCGCGUAGGCGGAUCAUAUAGUCAGGCGUGAAAGCCCCGGGCUCAACCUGGGAACUGCGCUUGAUACUGAUGGUCUAGAGUCCGGGAGAGGGUGGCGGAAUUCCCAGUGUAGAGGUGAAAUUCGUAGAUAUUGGGAAGAACACCGGUGGCGAAGGCGGCCACCUGGACCGGUACUGACGCUGAGGCGCGAAAGCGUGGGGAGCAAACAGGAUUAGAAACCCCGGUAGUCC